This 1194-nucleotide ribosomal RNA is filed under the name Triticum aestivum (bread wheat). RNAcentral describes it as "partial small subunit ribosomal RNA". The record is from RNAcentral. Lineage: Eukaryota; Viridiplantae; Streptophyta; Magnoliopsida; Poales; Poaceae.
AUGUUCUUUGGUAGCCAGUUCUCGGAGCUCGAGCGUGUAGCUAUUGAUCUUAGCCAGGGGCGUUCUCCCGAAAAGACAAGAUCUGGUGUUAUGAAGGGGCGGUUGGGAGCUCUGAGAAGUUCUACGGCUGCUUGUGCAGAGAGCCCUACUACACCCAAGAAUCCCAUUGUGGAAUUGAUAGACAGCGAUGAUGAUGUGUUUGACAAGGUUGCUGGCGUUGGAAGAGUCACGAGGAGCGCUGCUGCCAAAGGUUUAUCUCCCCUUGUUGGAAUAGUGGCUCGUAGAGCUGGUGGUGCUAGGAAAGAUCCUGCUUUGGAUUCUGGCAAUGUUGUAAGCACGAAGCGUGCACCCAGAGCUCCUAUAAAGUUUUGCUCCCCUGUGCAGCAGCUUCACCCUCAUAAAUUCCCUCACCUGGACAAGGCUCGCAGGUUGUAUAAUCUGUUGCUUAGUGAUGAAUGGCAUGAGAAGUAUGCCGAGAAUACAUUCUCAAUGAUACCUCAGCCUGAUGAGAGUGUAACUAACUUCACUGGGAAUCGCAUCUGGGAAGUUUUUUCACCUGGGCAAAUGAUGGAGGGUGAUGUUGUGCUUGACUGUUUGUUUCACGAGGAUGAAAAUAAAGUGUUUAAUGUGGAGAGUGCAGCGAGAGAUUUCAAGAGCUAUGUUAAAGCUAAUGAAGACUUGCUUAGUGCCGACCUUAUCAUGAUGCCUCUAUUCAAGCCUAUGGUUUUAUCAAAGGAUAGGAAAGUGAACCACUAUUCCUUAUAUGUCAUGAAUCGGUACCGAAGUAGCGUUGACAUCCUUGACUCUUUACCUUAUCCGAAGAACCACCGUCCUUCAAAGAACACCUAUCACAAAGAUUGCAAGAAGAUUAUUUCUAGAAUGGUCAAAGUAAUGAAGGCUGUGUAUGGUGAUGCUCAGUACAAUGCGAGAAAGCAGCCCAAUUGGGAGCUAUUUGCAAAGAAACCAACGUUUGUCAAGGUUCCACUUCAAGGGGAAAAUGAAUGUGGCCAUUAUACUCUGGAGUAUGCGGGAUGCUACGAUGGUGAAAAGAUCGUUGAGAACAUUCGAGAUUAUGACCCACGCAUUUUUGAUUGGAACGCUGAGGAUCUGUAUAGAGUUGUGUUCAACCGGAAUAACCAUCUUAUGGUUACGGAGCUUCCCAAGGAGCUUCAGGCUUUGGCUCCUGAUGCAUAG